RNAcentral lists this long non-coding RNA (10021 nucleotides) under Triticum aestivum (bread wheat). Its description in RNAcentral is "long non-coding RNA (TAES_LNC007016)". The stretch from base 5706 to 5840 matches the Rfam family "MIR1120/MIR1122 microRNA precursor family". Lineage: Eukaryota; Viridiplantae; Streptophyta; Magnoliopsida; Poales; Poaceae. The record is from RNAcentral.
UUUUUUUUUUGUCAGGCACAUUUUUGAUUGCUCUAGUUCUGAGGAUCUUUAUUUUCAGCCACAUCCAUCAUCGUGUCUACCAUUGUAAACACAUCUUUUGUCAGUGGAGCAUCGUGAAUUCCUUUGUGUCAUAGGCUCGCGUCUCUAGUUGUCUAGCCUAGGACCAGCAUUCAACCACUUUGAACGAAUUUUCAGCUUGCAUUAAUUAACGUGGUUGUAGCAUUUUUCCCCAUAUAUACAGCCAACCCAGCUCCACAUAUUUUUACAUCGUGCAUACAUAUGUUCAUCUGGCAAUCGUUUUACCCAAUCUUUGGAGUUAUUUGACACCGCCGGUUGCUGAUCACCACCUGCUGCAUGGUAAGAACUUGCAAGACUUUGAUAUUUGACUUACUGUGAGAGUUUUUACCACCACAUACUAGUAGUUAUAGAAACAUUAUUUUUGGAUUUUGUUUCUUGUUUCUACUAAUCAUGACAGGAUCCAGAGUCAAUUCAUGGGCUUUGUCGAUCGCGGGAGACAUGCUACCACCUAUGCAAAUACCACAACCGUCGCGAGAGGUGCACAAACAUCCAGAUGCACAUGAUCCGGUUAAUGUUUCUAUACCACCAUUUAAUGGCCGUUUUAGACCUGCUUUAUAUAUUGAAUGGGAGUUUGACAUAAAUAAUAUAUUUCCUUCCAAUAAUUUUGAUGAACGUAAAAAGGUUAAGGUUGCGGUUGGUUCUUUCACUGGUUAUGCUAUAGUUUGGUGGACUGAAUAUUGUUGGUUACACCCUAAUGAAAUACCUACUACUUGGGAUGUUUUAAAACUUGCCAUGCGACAUACAUUCAUUCCCGCUUAUUAUACUCGUGACAUGAUUAAAAAGUUGCAACAUUUAAAACAAGGUAGUGACACCGUAAUGACAUAUUAUGAUACUUUACAAACUACCUUGCUGCAUUCCUCUUUAGUAGAAAGUGAAGAAGAUUUUAUGGAUAGAUUUUGGGGAGGAUUAAAUCGUGACAUUCGGGAGAUACUAAUUCAUGAAGAGUGUUAUCCUAUGGACCAUUUGUUUCAUCUUGCUUGCAAAGCUGAACAGGAAAUAAAACGAUGUGUUGCCCACAAGGAGAACAAGCGCGAGAUGCACAUUCCAAGAGUUGAUACGGUUGUCCCUUCAACUAUUAGGCAUACUAUGACAACCACAUCUGUUGUUGUCAGGACUACAUCACCUUCACCAUGCGACACAUCAUCACCGAUAGUGCCUACAUCAUCUAAGUUGAUCAUAAGAGGUAAUGACAAAGGUACUAAUCUUCCACCUCGACAUGAGUAUGAUGAAUGUCUUAUCAAUUUAAAUGCACCAUGCGGUGAGCUACUCACUACUUUGAUCACACCAGCUAUUUUAGAGGACUAUGUUGCUGAUUUGACUUUGCCAUGUGAUCAAACAAUUUUGAGUGAAUCCAUUGAAUUAAUUAUCGAUGCAAAAGAAUCAAGUGAAUCAGGAAAUAAAUCAGAUUUGGAUCAAAUAAGUUUGAAAAUAAUUAUGCCAAUGUUUAAUCAUUUUGAUAUGACCUCUAAUCUUGGUGAUGGUUCAUCAAUGUUGGGAUGGUUUAAUGAUAAGCAUGGUCAAACUUUUCAUAUGAAUAAGAGCUUCACUUAUAUAUGCAAACUGAGUUGCAAUAUUUUCAUGCCUUUGAAUUCUAGUGAUAAUAUAUUGGCUUUAUAUUUCACGACUUUUGAAGGGUGCUCUUGUAUAACUAUGUCACAUGUGCCCCAACUGAUAUCAGUAAAAAUAGAUGACAUAUAUAUAUACAACAUGUACACCUUGUCUCUUUUGUUAGCCACAUUUCAGAUUAAGCAACACCGAGGACGACUUUGUUUUCAAGAAGGGGAGGAUGAUGAGGACAUGGCUACCACAUUUACACCCAUAACCCAUACUUUACCUCUUGGAGCAAUUGCUAGAGCUCAUAUACGCCAAUUAAAUUAUCAGGUACUUUCGUUUCUUGGUAAUGUUUCUAGUGUUCAUGAGAAUAUGAUGCUGCCUAAUUUAGAUACAUUUGUGUUGUUUGCAAUUGAAGGGCCUAGCACGGACAAGAAGGAUGAACAUUGGAGCAUGGUGAAGCACGGAGAUGAAGGUGUGUGCGAAGAGAACAAGAACAGAGGUUCAAGUGGAGAUUUCAGGACUUUGAAGCCGCCAUGAUGACAUACAAGAAGAUGGACGAAAUAUACAAGAUGGACUUUCAUAAAUUUCGUCCAUAGCUUAUUAUUGGUGUUGCGCCACCUUAUUUUGGGCCAGACCCAUGUAAUCUAUUUUUAGAGUCCAUAUUGUAGGGAAAACGACUUAGGAGGUGUUUUAGUCCCACCUUGCCAAGGGUGGACAAAAUCCCCUCUCUUUUCCCUAUAAAUAUAGCCCUUAAGGCAUCGUUUAGACUUGGGUUUUAUUUAGUUAAAAGUUAGCCAUCGCUGCAACUUCGUGUACUUCGUUUGUGUCCAACGACCAGACUAAGACCGCUUAUGAAACCCCACUUUUAUCAAUACUUCAUCCAUACUCGCAAUAUUCAGAUUGCUUAAUCAUAUUCUUCCUUGUUCUUCGAUUGCUUGCAGGAAUAGACCUUUGUGGUCAGGUUGAUCGUGCUCCAGCGUGAUCAAUAACCUCUCGGAGUUGGUUUAGCGAUUGCUAAGGCGCAACGUCGUGCGUGUUUGUAGUCGGAUCGUCAAAGUCGUCUCCACCAAAUCGAUAGUUAUCAUCUCAUCGAAAGAUCGGGACCCUCGCCUCUAUCACAAUGGGGCUGGUCCAUAAAUCACAGUGGAUCAACUGAAAAGGAGCAAACGUGCAACUACUAGAUGAAGAAAAAGGGAGAUGAGGUUUGGUGUCCUAGUUGAUAAGCAUUACAUGGAGUGUGCACAAGUUUAUUACAGGAAGAAAGAAAAUCAUGAGCGGCUAAUGACGAAAUGGCUUGAGGGCUUGGGUAGCCGAGCCGACGGUGCCACACAUCCGUGGUGGAGACGGUGGCGGAGAGGGAAGUGCUCCAAGACUUGUUAUUGCCGAAGAAAGGAUAGAGGUUGCCAGAGCUAGCGGAGAUCAUGCUUACCCUCCUGGUGCGAAGAUCCUUCACAAGAAAGCCAUAGGGAAAAAAUUCAAUUGAGCAAGAAUUAUCUUUGGUGAACUGACGAACGGAAAUGAGACUAAUAACAACAUGAAAUGAAAAUAAGACAUCUCUAAGGUGAAAGUUGUGAGAAGGGAGGGUGGUGGAUACGGAAGAGUGGAUGGGAAGAUGAGUGCCAUUGCCAACAACAAUGCUAGAGAAGCGACGCUUUAAAGAAGAAUUAGAGUGGUCGAGGUUACCAGGGUUGCCGGUGACGUGGGACGUGGCACUGCCGUCGAGGUACCAUUCAUUUGGCGCAGAGCCAGUGUUGGGGAAGCCGUGAGCGUUGUAGGCGGCCUGUAGCAUCGCGAGGUGAUCCCACGACGGCUGUUGUGGAGGAGGCGGCCUAGGGUAGCCCGAGAACUGCAUCUGGUAGGCCUGAGCAUGCGAGCCGGGCCACGUACCGAGCACGCCAGCAGAGUUCGGAGGAACCCAGUUGGGGCGCGGAUUGGGCAGUGCCAUCUCGUAGGGGGCGAAGAAGUCCAUGUAGGGAUUGGGCAGGGGCGCAGAGAAGUUGUUGAAGCCGCGCUGCCCCUGAUCACCACGGUCGCGUCCACGGCCAUGGCCACGCCCGCGCCCGCGUCCACGGUCACUGCCCUCCUGGAGAGUGCCGGAGCAGGGGCCUUGCUGGUGUCCAUGCCGCCGUGAUCGGGACCGCGCUCGACGGAGCAGUCACCGCGAUCACCGGUGCGGGUGCCCGACGGGCCGGCCUGGCCGGACGAGCUCCCAGGAGGAGCGGAACCGUCGGUGACGGAGAGGAUGGUGACGGGCUCGUUGGCGGUGCGCUAGGCCAGGUUCUCCUCCGCAAGCUUAAGGCGGGAGAACACCGUCUCGAACGGCGACAAGGGAACGGUGUCGCCCAAAACAAUGCGGAUGGUGUCGAGGCGUUUGUCGAUGUUGUGGAGGAACUGGGUGGUGAGAUCCACCUCAGUGACCGCGUGAUCGAUAUCCGCAAGUCCGGCGGUGAGAAGCUUCAUGCGGCGAGCGUACUCCGCGACGGAGAGAUCCCCCUGCUUGAGAUUGUGGUACUGCCGGUUGAGUGUCAUGUACCGGGCUGCCCGAUUGGCGAGGAAGUAGUCACGAAUCCGAGCCUAGAGCUCGUACGUGGAGGCGGCAUCGACGACGUGGUCAAUAAGGGGAUCGGCGAGUGUGGCGUAGAUCCAGAGAACGAGAUUGGCAUCAAGUUCGUGGGUGGCGGCGUCAAAGUUGGGCGGGAGUGGGUGCUCAAUGAAGUGGGCGACGCCGUACCAGAUCAAGACCAUGAGGAAGGACUUCCACUUAUGAUAGUUGUGGUCGUCGGGGUUGAGGAGAAAUUUGAUAUGGUUUUGGAUGUUGUCUCUGAAAAUGGGAUGUUGGGACGAAGUGGCCGAAGAAGGCGGCAGAGGUGCAGUAGAGGAGAAGAGGGGGCGAAUUGGGAGGAGGUGGGAGUCGAGGUGCUGCCGAAGACGAACGGCGAGGAUCCAGCAGCAGUGGAGGGGGUGGUGGCGGCGGAGGUGCCCGUGCCGAAGAGGGAGCCCGGCGAGGUUGCUACGCUGGUGGGGAGGUGGCGGCGCCGGUGGCCAAGGAGGAAGGAGAGUCGACGGCCAUGGGAGAACACGGAGUCUGAUACCAAGUUGAGUGAUGAAAAUGCACUCUAUCAAUUAUAGCCGAUACAACUUAUACACAGAGGAGUCGUAACUGAGUGCCCGAGAGAAGUGGCACGCAGGCCUGGGCGUGAGUCACGAUCCUAAAUACAUGGAAACAGUAUGUGUACAUAUACAACAGGAUACACAGGUAUAUUGCAUGCUAACAAUAAACUUGGUCAAAUUUUACAAAGUUUAAUUUAAAAAAAUAUUUAUAUGCACUACAUUAUGGAAAAGGAGGGAUUACUUAAAAGGAGAAUUGUUGGAGCCGAUGCGAUGAUAUUUUAAAAAGAAAACACCGUCACACCAUUCUCAUGACAGAUAGCUUUUGGGUGUCAUUUUCCGAAGUGUCCCGGUCCAUCGUUCGUCUGCAUUCUAGUACUACGGUCUAUGGAGCACAAUGGGCUGAGCUGAGCAUGCCCUGUCACCGGCCUAAGAGCAUCUCCAACAGCUCGUCUAAAUGAUCGUCUAAAGCCCAUAUACACGACGAAGGCCCGAUAACGGCCUCCCAGCAGCUCGUGCAUCGCGUCGUCUAUCCAUCCACAUCGUCCAAAUUCACCUCCACAUUGUCUACGCAUGGACAUCGUCGAGACGUCAUGGAUAGAGGAACCGCUCCAUCCCAGAGCGGUUGGCGCCACCAUCCGGAGUCGUUGGAGCUGCGCCUGCAACGUCGCGAGGUCGCCCUUGUUCCCUCGAGGUAUGGCUCCUUUCUUCCUCGACAGGUAGAGAGGGAGGGUUGGGGCACCGGAGCCAGGGCGGGUUGGAGAUGGAUCCAGCGGCCGCUGCGGCGCUCGAGGGCCACCUCGCGCCUCUCUAUUGAGGUAGCCGUGCAGGGUAUCCAGUAGUAGUUUAAUUGAAUAUGUUCAGUGCAGGUUAACUGAAUAUGUGGCAAUGCAUUGGCCUUGCAGGUUAACUGAAUACUUCCUCCGUCCUAAAAUAAGUGUCUAAAGCUUAAUACAACUUUAUAUUAAGUACUCCCUCCGUCUCAUAAUUCUUGUCUUACAUUUGUUUAGAUAUGGAUGUAUCUAAUACCAAAACGAUACUUGUUACAUCCGUAUUUGGACAAAUCUAAGACAAGAAUUUUGGGACGGAGGGAGUACAAAGUUGAGACACUUAUUUUGGGACGGAGGAAGUAUGUGGCAAUGCAUUGACGUGCAGGUUAACUGAAUAUGUUCAGUGCUACUGGACUGAAAAUUUUAAUUAGAUACUCUGCGUGUACUACUAAGUAUGUUCAGUGAUACUAAUAUUGCUACUCCCACUUAUAUAGAGAAUUUUUUUUCAUAUUGAUGGUACUUUUUUUUUUGGCGAAUUGAUAUUGAUGGUACUAGGUAGGCUAUAUGAUGUAGUUAGAAACCAAUGCAGUUAUAAAUUGUUUGAAUUACCAUUGAAAUGGUAGUUGAGUUGGUAGUUAGAAAAUAAUAUUAUAAUAUAGGAGAGAGAAUAUAGACGUUCUAUAUAUAGACAUUCUGCUGUAAAACUGAACGUGUAUAUCAAAGAAUCUUUAUAGACCAUUGUCUAUAUGAAUAUAUAGACACCCAAAUUUACACAUGCCGUUGGAGAUGCUGUGAGCUCCCAUCCUUCGGCACCCACCCACCCACCCCGGCACCGGGCCACAGCUUCCACGUGCAACCUCCUGCCCCACGCGCCAUCCUUCACCCCCUGCAGCUGCAAUCAAUCAGUCGUCACUCUCCGGACACCAGUGAGCCGUGCCCGUCUUCUCCUACCUCCAAACUCCUCGCGCUCCUCGCUGCACACACACUUAUCUUUCCAGCUCACACUUUCUCCCUCUUUGCUUCGCUCGCUGCUUCUUCUCUUGUUUCCUUUUCUCCUCUCUAUCCAACUCCCACUCUGCCACCUAUAAAUUCCAGCCACCACCAUUGAAUUGAGUCGAUUGCGCAGAAUUCUUGCAGCUGAUCGCGCCGGAAGCUCGCAUCGUACGAGAUAGUGUGUGUGCCUAGAUAAUCACGUACAUAUACAUGGCUGCAUGGCUGGCGCGCCGGGCCGCCAGGAGGCUCGCUAGCGAGCUGCGCAGCCGUGGACCAGGGCCAUGGCCCUUGAGCUCGUCGACGGUGCUGGUUCUCGGGGUGCCAUCAGGGGACCAAAGCAGGGGGUUUUGCUCCGUCCGGCGCUUCGCAGGAGAUAGCGCCGCCGCCGCUGCCGUCGAGGAGCCGGAGAAUGGACUUGCCGCAGGCGAUCUGCAGGUAUCUGUGCACUCGUAUGUUGUGGUACAUACAGUAGGACGGCUGCUUCUAGACAUGUGUGUUCUACAGAAUCGUCUAGUAGUGGUACGUAGUACCACGAAUAUUUAGGAUGCUAUGGUUUUGAAGAUUACAUUAUAUUUCCCGCAGAAAAAGAAAAGAAAAUUACAUUAUAUAUAUGCAACAGGGAAGGUAAGCAGAUAACAAACAUUCAGGAUGCUGCGCCUACAAUCAUGUGAUCUUUCUCCUUGAUUAAAGAAAAUUUAGUGUGGGUAUCAUCGUGAUUCUCACUUGGAAAGAGCAUCCUGUAUACACGUGAUUACUAUAUAUGCUUCUAAUAUUCCUAAGAAACAAGAGAACUUUAACACAUGACAAUUGUGGAUAGAAUUGACAACAAGUAGUAAAGUAAGCAGAUAAGGAAGGACGUGUCAUUGAGUCAAUGGGCUGGUGGGACUUCACUUCAGGUUUAGUAAGCUCACACGGCUUCUUUUCUCUUGCGUGUUUUAUUUAUUUAUAGUUCCUGUGAUGCCAUGGUCAAUCGUUGUCAACGAAUAAAAUAGUCCAUUGCCUUGCCUCCAAGGUCAGUUAGACUAACCCGGUUGUGCUUCCAAAUUUAUUUCGAGGAGAUUUUAUACAUUCAUUCUUCUGGGGCCACCAAUGGUUUUCCCUGUGCACAACUAACUUAAUUUUGAUUGUUACCGACGCAGUUUGUAGAUUUCCCUGGAGGAAAGCUUUCCUUUGUUGGUGAAAUGAAUUUCCUGCCAGAGUCGCAAAGGGAAAGGAUCAAUUGUUACCGUGUUCUUGACGACGAUGGUGGGACUAUAUACAGCAGUAGAUUCCAAGAGGUGUAGUACCGCCAUUGCCAUUGCCAUUGCUCCACGAGUGAAUAAUUUUGUUCUGAAGCAUGUCUCUCAUUCUUGUCAGGUCAGUAAGGAGUUGGCUCUGAAAAUGUACAGUAACAUGGUCACCCUCCAGAUUAUGGACACAAUCUUCUAUGAAGCUCAGAGGCAGGGAAGAAUUUCCUUUUAUCUAACUUCCAAUGGUGAAGAAGCAAUCAACAUAGCCUCUGCUGCUGCGCUUAGUGCUCAAGACAUUGUACUACCUCAGGUGCAUAUCAUCUGCUCCAAAAAAGAAUGUUAGUGCUGAAUAGUAUUGAUUUUACUUGCUUUUCUUUUCUUGGCCGGAAAUUUUGGAGCCAAAUGAAGUACAGGGAGCCCGGUGUUCUUCUAUGGCGUGGCUUCACACUGCAAGAAUUUGCAAACCAGUUGUUUGGGAACAAGCUGGAUUACGGUAAAGGCAGGCAGAUGCCAAUACAUUACGGAUCAAACCGUCUGAAUUAUUUCACAGUCUCAUCGCCUAUCGCGUAAGUAUGAAAUACUUCCUUCUCCUUCCUUUUCGGAAAACAAAAAAAAAAUGAAAUACUUCCUCCUUCCUUUCUGAAAAAAGAAAAGGAAAAAGAAAAAUGUUGUGCAAGUGAAGCAGAGAUUUAUCCUUGUUGGCAAUUGAUCAGCACUCAGCUCCCUCAAGCUGUUGGUGCUGCCUAUUCUCUCAAGAUGGACAAGAAGAAGGCAUGUGCCAUCACGUAUUUCGGCGAUGGUGGCACGAGCGAGGUAGAUGGACAAUCAUUGAUUGCUUACUUACAACUUGUGGUAACCAGAUCUCUCUGACAGCUGAAAAACGUCAGGGAGACUUCCAUGCCGCGCUCAACUUCGCUGCUGUCACGGAAGCGCCAGUGAUCUUCUUCUGCCGCAACAAUGGCUGGGCAAUCAGCACCCCAACCGCAGAACAGUUCAGAAGUAUGAAUUGUGCCUCUGCUCAAUCAUACAAGGGAAUAUUGGCACGGCACUGUAUAAAACCCAACUACUCUUGCAGGUGAUGGAGUUGUUACCCGCGGUCAGGCCUACGGAAUACGCAGUAUCAGGGUAGACGGCAACGAUACUCUUGCUGUGUACAGUGCAGUCCACACCGCCCGGGAAAUGGCUAUAACUGAAGGAAGGCCUAUUUUAAUCGAGGUGCAGAAUAGUAAAAUUUCAGAAUAUACCAUUUGCUGAGAGUACUUUACUGAGUAGAAAACUUCCAGGCGAUGACCUACCGAGUCGGCCAUCACUCGACAUCCGACGAUUCAACCAAGUACAGGCCGGCUGAUGAGAUGGAGCAUUGGCGAACAGCGAGGGAUCCCGUCUCCAGGUACAGAAAAUGGGUUCAGGGGAAUGGAUGGUGGUGCGACACUCAAGAGUCUGAACUCAGGAACAAUGUGCGGCAAGAGGUAAUGUAAUAUUGGUGUUGCAGAAAGGUGGAUCUGGAUCUCUGUAAUGCAUUUAUUUUUUCAUACAUGACCAACUGAAACUGUUAGCUCAUUUCUGUGCAGCUCCUGCAAGCCAUUCAGGUGGCCGAGAGGAUGCCAAAACACGGGCUUGCGGAGCUCUUCACUGAUGUUUAUGAUCAAAUGCCUUCCAACCUUCGCGAGCAAGAGCGGUCGCUGCUGGAUACCAUCAAAAAGCAUCCUGCAGAGUAUCCAGCUGAUGUGCCUGCUUAGUCCUAUUAGCCUUAGCUCUGCAAUGUUGAGUCUGCAAGUACCCAUGAAUGAUGAUUUAGCUGGUACCGUAAGAGUUAAUAUUGAUUAUAGCUUGAAUAGUAUGUAAUUUAAGAAGGGGGAAUAAACUGCCCAUCAAAAAUCUCUGAAAGAAAUAAUAGAAGAGAUUGGCUGUUACUCACACAAGGAAUAGUUGUUGCUGAUAUUUAUGUUGAACAAAGCUAUGCUAAGAUAUUUAUAACUGCAGGCAAAUGCCUCUUUUAUUUAAGACAUGGCUGUCACCACUCCUUAGAUGUACAAAUGUGAUACAACAAGGAUUGCAUUUGUCCCAACAAAAAGGUCAUUUACACACAGAAAGUGUGAAUAAGGUGUGGCAUUGCGAUCAUUGUUUUGGAUCAAUCCAACUACAACAGGGAAGGUUCAAACCAAAAAGGCUUCUACAAUGGGGAAGGGGCCUGGCUUUUCUCCUUGAUGGCCUCCUGGACAGACUUCAGCAGUGAUGGCAUCAACUGCUUAUUUGUGGCAAUGAUGCCUGUGUCAACAUCAAGAAAUC